GGUUCCGGAAGGUUGAAUGAGGUAGAAGGCUCUUGGGAAGGAACAGCGACCACCUUCCUGCUUCUCAUCGCCACGACCAUCCUGGCUGGACCCAGACAGUGACGAGGGCUGGGGAGGGCCAGCACGUGCCCAGGUUUCCAGGAGGGGCCACCUGUUUAUCGUCUUUGCGAAGAAGAAAACGCUUUGAGUGCCCGGAUGUUUCAGCAACCAAAGACACGUUGUGAUGGCCAGGACUCAUGACAAGUGGCAGCGCUGUGAAGAAUGAUCUCUCUGGACCUGGAAGGGCUAAACUUCCCAUGGCUCAUGAAGAGCAGACUGAGGACCCCAAACUGGACAGGAGUAAAACCAAAGGUACUGCCGGGCUGUGGACCGCUCGUAAAGACGGGAGAGUCCUUCUGAGGCUGUCGAGCCACGGGGCCGGCCACGAGACCCCUGUGACCGUCCCUCAGUUUUUUCGGGAGUCGGCCAGCCGAUUUGGGGCUUACCCAGCCCUCGCAACAAAGAAGAAUGAACAGUGGGAAACUCUGAACUUCAACCAGUACUACAAGGCCUGUCGGAAGGCUGCGAGGGCCUUGAUCAAGCUGGGCCUGCAGCGUUUCCACGGAGUCGGCAUCCUGGGGUUCAACUCUGUCGAGUGGCUUAUUGCUUCUCUGGGCGCCAUCUUAGCAGGGGGUCUCUGUGUUGGUAUUUAUUCCACCAACUCUGCGGACGCUUGUCAGUACGUCAUUACGCAUGCCAAAGUGAACAUCCUGCUGGUUGAGAAUGACCUACAGCUGCAGAAAGUCCUUUCGAUUCCACAGGGCCGGAUGGAGACCCUCAAAGCCAUCGUCCAGUACAAGCCGCCCAUGCAGAAGAAGGGUGACAACCUGUACUCUUGGAAUGAUUUCAUGGAACUUGGCAACAGCGUCCCCGAAUCCCAGCUGGACCAGAUCAUAGACGAGCAGAGGGCCAAUCAGUGCGCUGUGCUCAUCUACACUUCCGGGACCACAGGCAACCCCAAGGGGGUGAUGCUCAGCCACGACAACAUCACGUGGACGGCCGGCGCGGUGGCGAGGAACUGCGGCCUGUCCUAUGCCUCCCAGAAGCAGGAGGUGGUGGUCAGCUACCUGCCGCUCAGCCACAUUGCGGCUCAGAUGAUGGACGUCUGGGUGCCCAUGAAGAUCGGGGCCUGCACCUACUUCGCCCAGCCGAACGCUCUCAAGGGCACCCUGAUCAGCACUCUGCAGGAGGUACGGCCCACUGCCUUCCUGGGGGUGCCCCGAGUCUGGGAGAAGAUGCAGGAGAGGGUAAAGGAAGCUGGUGCCAGGUUCUCAAGCUUGAGGAAGAAGGUGUUUACGUGGGGAAGAGUUGUCGGCUUAAAGAUCAAUACUAAAAGGAUGCUGGGGACAAAUGAUAUUCCCAUGAGCUACCGCAUAGCAAUGGCCCUCGUGUUCAGCAAAGUCAAGAGCACCCUUGGCCUUGAUCGCUGCCACUCUUUUAUCAGCGGAGCUGCACCCCUCGACCAAGAGACCUCUGAGUUCUUCCUAAGCCUGGACAUACGUAUAGGCGAGAUGUACGGGUUGAGCGAAAGCUCCGGACCCCACACCGUAUCCACCCAGGAGACCUACAGGAUCCGAAGCUGCGGCAAGGCCAUGGAAGGGUGCAAGACCCUGCUGUACCAGCAGAACAAGGACAGCGUCGGGGAGAUCUGCGUCUGGGGCCGCCACGUCUUCAUGGGCUACCUGGACAUGGAGGACAUGACCACCGAGGUCAUUGACGAGGAGGGCUGGCUGCACACCGGUGACCUGGGCUACAUAGACCACCAGGCCUUCCUCUACAUCACCGGCCGCAUCAAAGAAAUCCUCAUCACGGCGGGCGGGGAGAACGUGGCCCCGGUCCCCAUCGAGAACACGGUGAAGGAGAAGAUCCCCAUCGUCAGUCACGCCAUGGUGGUGGGGGAGAAGGCGAACUUCCUGUGCGUCCUGCUGACGCUGAAGUGUCAGAUAGACGGGACAACCGGACAGCCACUGGACAACCUAAGCCCGGAGGCCAUCGACUUCUGCCAGAGACUGGGGAGCAAGGCGUCCACCGUCUCUGAGAUUCUGGCGCUGCGGGACCCCCUGGUCUACAAGGCCAUCCAGGAGGGCAUCAACGCCGUGAACGAGGAAGCCAUCUCCAACGCACAGAGGAUCCAGAAGUGGGCCAUCCUGGAGAAGGACUUCUCCAUCCCCGGUGGAGAGCUGGGUCCGACGACAAAGAUUAAGAGACACUUUGUGGUCCAAAAAUACAAAAGGCUAAUCGACAGCUUCUACUACUGACUUCUCUGGUGGAAGUGCUCCUGGCCGCCCCCACGGAAUAUUUUCAUCCUUCGGUAACUAUGGGGUCUCGGAGAAUGAACACAUUGAUUUUGAGGCUCUCCAGGUACUCACUUUCUUCUCCCUCCAGCUUUUACCAGGAAGACCUGUUACCAGACUUUCCAGUCCAGAGGACUGAGACAUCAGAAAGAAAAGCUUUCACAAGCUUGGAGAAGUGGGUCCCCAAACCAACUCAUCAUCCUAAAAGUGACCUGGAAACCCUUCCGAUGAGCUCUGAUAAUAAAGCACUUCGGCAUCCCGGGUCCUGAUUUGGGGCCAGAUUCAAA
Suricata suricatta (meerkat) is the source of this 2620-nucleotide RNA transcript. It is a transcript of the gene named long-chain-fatty-acid--CoA ligase ACSBG2-like, with no coding region annotated. Lineage: Eukaryota; Metazoa; Chordata; Mammalia; Carnivora; Herpestidae. The transcript is spliced from 16 exons. The record is from RefSeq and is a predicted model, not a curated record.